GAUUAACGCUGGCGGCGUGCAUAACACAUGCAAGUCGAACGAUGAAACUUAGUAGACUUCUUCGGAAAGACACUAAGCGGAUUAGUGGCGAACGGGUGAGUAACGCGUGAGUAACCUGCCUUACACAAGGGGAUAGCCUUUGGGAACGAAGAAUAAUACCCUAUAAAACCAUAAAAGCACAUGCUAGAAUGGUCAAAGUGAUAGCGGUGUAAGAUGGACUUGCGUCUGAUUAGCUAGUUGGUGAGAUAAAAGCUCACCAAGGCAACGAUCAGUAGCCGGCUUGAGAGAGUGUACGGCCACAUUGGGACUGAGACACGGCCCAGACUCCUACGGGAGGCAGCAGUGGGGAAUUUUGCACAAUGGGGGAAACCCUGAUGCAGCGACGCCGCGUGAUUUAGAAGGCCUUCGGGUUGUAAAAAUCUUUUGUAUAGGAAGAAAAUGACAGUACUAUACGAAUAAGGUCCGGCUAAUUACGUG
This 477-nucleotide ribosomal RNA is filed under the name uncultured bacterium. RNAcentral describes it as "partial 16S ribosomal RNA". It matches the Rfam family "Bacterial small subunit ribosomal RNA", at positions 28 to 507 of the family's 1533-position model. The record is from RNAcentral.